Long non-coding RNA from Fukomys damarensis (Damara mole-rat), 587 nucleotides. RefSeq lists it as uncharacterized. Lineage: Eukaryota; Metazoa; Chordata; Mammalia; Rodentia; Bathyergidae. The record is from RefSeq and is a predicted model, not a curated record. The transcript is spliced from 5 exons.
AAACUACAGCAAACAACAAAUAGAAUCGAUUGCAGUCUCCCAUUGGCUGUUAACAAGUUUGUGAGCAAGGGGGCAGCUGGAGACAGGCGCCCAAUAGAGAUGUACAGAAAAUACUCCAGGGAGACCCUAGGAAGCCACUGGCCAGAAAAGGUGUCUCCAAUGUGAAGCAUUUUUGCAAUUACUCCUCAUAACCCUUCUGCAUGGAAUACUAAUCCAGAGAUUUUACACUCUGAAGUUUCGGAAAAACAAAUUACCUUGGCCAAAAGCCUUUUUCUGGUCUCUGAUGCUGAGUACGUGAAAUCUCUAAGCCUCACAAAGAGUCAAACAUCUGAAUUUAUCUGCCCUGCUCGGUGGGAGCCUGCACAGGAAUCCACGCGGAUACAAUUGUGCUGUUGCUGAUUAACAGAACACCCGAGAGGCACGGCACUGAUAAACACCAGCUGGAUGGCAGGCUGGCAAACCACAUCACGGGGUGCAGGCCUCAUGAACCCUUCUGGCUUGGACCUUGUUGUCACAGCUUAGCCUCUUGCCAGCCUCAUUUCCACCCCUGUUCUCCCCUAUGACAGCCUGGCAAUUUACAAAAGCAG